Molecule: long non-coding RNA, 567 nt
Organism: Meriones unguiculatus (Mongolian gerbil)
Lineage: Eukaryota; Metazoa; Chordata; Mammalia; Rodentia; Muridae
Exons: 3
Source: RefSeq, a predicted model, not a curated record
GAGUUGCUGUCCUGUUGAUUCGAAAAGCAGGCCAGGGGUUGGGGGCGCUCUUCCCUGAGGAUGCUGUCUUUCGCUCCCCCGCCCCUCGCAGCUGUGCAGAGCGUCAGGCUGUCCAGGAGGUUAGCACCCGUCGGCAUGGAACCACGCCAAUGGCCACUUUAGAAAUGCACAUGCUGGCCAGGAAUCAUCCCACGCCCCCCGAUGGAUGCUCCCCCACCUGCUGCCUUUGUGUUAAUGGCUCCCUCCUCUCAAGGAGGACUGCUUCCCAUCAGGUGCCAGCGCCUUCAAGGAGCUGAACUGCAUUCUGCCGCCUAGAAGAGGGGGCUAACUAAGUGCGAAGGAGCUGAGUGCCUGAAGAUCACCCAGUGGGGCUAACAGCACUGAGAGAGCUGUUAUAAGCCAGCAGGUUUGUUCUGAAAGUUUCUUACAUUGAUAGAAAGCAAACUAUGACAUCAUCCUUGGCCCUGGACAAACAUGGUCAAACAGGAAGGGGAUAUAGGAUUCUUGAAGACACUGGGGUGUCUUAUAAUAGUAGCAAACAUCCCACCCACUUAUGGCCACACUGGA